This 1405-nucleotide ribosomal RNA is filed under the name Escherichia coli. RNAcentral's name for it is "partial 23S ribosomal RNA". It matches the Rfam family "Bacterial large subunit ribosomal RNA", at positions 1558 to 2925 of the family's 2925-position model. Lineage: Bacteria; Pseudomonadati; Pseudomonadota; Gammaproteobacteria; Enterobacterales; Enterobacteriaceae. The record is from RNAcentral.
GAGGCGUGAUGACGAGGCACUACGGUGCUGAAGCGACAAAUGCCCUGCUUCCAGGAAAAGCCUCUAAGCAUCAGGUAACAUCAAAUCGUACCCCAAACCGACACAGGUGGUCAGGUAGAGAAUACCAAGGCGCUUGAGAGAACUCGGGUGAAGGAACUAGGCAAAAUGGUGCCGUAACUUCGGGAGAAGGCACGCUGAUAUGUAGGUGAAGCGACUUGCUCGUGGAGCUGAAAUCAGUCGAAGAUACCAGCUGGCUGCAACUGUUUAUUAAAAACACAGCACUGUGCAAACACGAAAGUGGACGUAUACGGUGUGACGCCUGCCCGGUGCCGGAAGGUUAAUUGAUGGGGUUAGCGGUAACGCGAAGCUCUUGAUCGAAGCCCCGGUAAACGGCGGCCGUAACUAUAACGGUCCUAAGGUAGCGAAAUUCCUUGUCGGGUAAGUUCCGACCUGCACGAAUGGCGUAAUGAUGGCCAGGCUGUCUCCACCCGAGACUCAGUGAAAUUGAACUCGCUGUGAAGAUGCAGUGUACCCGCGGCAAGACGGAAAGACCCCGUGAACCUUUACUAUAGCUUGACACUGAACAUUGAGCCUUGAUGUGUAGGAUAGGUGGGAGGCUUUGAAGUGUGGACGCCAGUCUGCAUGGAGCCGACCUUGAAAUACCACCCUUUAAUGUUUGAUGUUCUAACGUGGGCCCCUUACCGGGGUUGCGGACAGUGUCUGGUGGGUAGUUUGACUGGGGCGGUCUCCUCCUAAAGAGUAACGGAGGAGCACGAAGGUUGGCUAAUCCUGGUCGGACAUCAGGAGGUUAGUGCAAUGGCAUAAGCCAGCUUGACUGCGAGCGUGACGGCGCGAGCAGGUGCGAAAGCAGGUCAUAGUGAUCCGGUGGUUCUGAAUGGAAGGGCCAUCGCUCAACGGAUAAAAGGUACUCCGGGGAUAACAGGCUGAUACCGCCCAAGAGUUCAUAUCGACGGCGGUGUUUGGCACCUCGAUGUCGGCUCAUCACAUCCUGGGGCUGAAGUAGGUCCCAAGGGUAUGGCUGUUCGCCAUUUAAAGUGGUACGCGAGCUGGGUUUAGAACGUCGUGAGACAGUUCGGUCCCUAUCUGCCGUGGGCGCUGGAGAACUGAGGGGGGCUGCUCCUAGUACGAGAGGACCGGAGUGGACGCAUCACUGGUGUUCGGGUUGUCAUGCCAAUGGCACUGCCCGGUAGCUAAAUGCGGAAGAGAUAAGUGCUGAAAGCAUCUAAGCACGAAACUUGCCCCGAGAUGAGUUCUCCCUGACUCCUUGAGAGUCCUGAAGGAACGUUGAAGACGACGACGUUGAUAGGCCGGGUGUGUAAGCGCAGCGAUGCGUUGAGCUAACCGGUACUAAUGAACCGUGAGGCUUAACCUUACAACGCCGAAG